CCUACGGGAGGCAGCAGUGGGGAAUCUUGCGCAAUGGGGGGAACCCUGACGCAGCGACACCGCGUGCGGGGCGGAGGCCUUCGGGUCGUAAACCGCUUUCAGCAGGGAAGAGUCAAGACUGUACCUGCAGAAGAAGCCCCGGCUAACUACGUGCCAGCAGCCGCGGUAAUACGUAGGUGCCAGCAGCCGCGGUAAUACGUAGGUGCCAGCAGCCGCGGUAAUACGUAGGUUCCAGCAGCCGCGGUAAU
RNAcentral lists this ribosomal RNA (248 nucleotides) under uncultured Collinsella sp. Its description in RNAcentral is "partial 16S ribosomal RNA". The stretch from base 1 to 184 matches the Rfam family "Bacterial small subunit ribosomal RNA", at positions 338 to 539 of the family's 1533-position model. Lineage: Bacteria; Bacillati; Actinomycetota; Coriobacteriia; Coriobacteriales; Coriobacteriaceae. The record is from RNAcentral.